RNAcentral lists this ribosomal RNA (28 nucleotides) under Frankliniella fusca. RNAcentral's name for it is "partial 28S ribosomal RNA". Lineage: Eukaryota; Metazoa; Arthropoda; Insecta; Thysanoptera; Thripidae. The record is from RNAcentral.
CGACCUCAGUUCAGGUGAGAUUACCGGC